GCCAGCGUGGUGUAGUGGUUUGAGUGUCAGACUACCACUCUGGAGACCAGGGUUCGAUUCCUGGCUCGGCCA
RNAcentral lists this transfer RNA (72 nucleotides) under Phrynosoma platyrhinos (Desert horned lizard). Its description in RNAcentral is "tRNA-OTHER". The record is from RNAcentral. Lineage: Eukaryota; Metazoa; Chordata; Lepidosauria; Squamata; Phrynosomatidae.